UGCGAGAUAGAGCAGUGGUACGCUCGUCAGGCUCAUAAUCUGAAGGUCGUAGGUUCGAAUCCUACUCUCGCAU
Molecule: transfer RNA, 73 nt
Filed under: Reclinomonas americana ATCC 50283
Lineage: Eukaryota; Jakobea; Jakobida; Histionidae
Description: tRNA-Met
Rfam family: tRNA
About the family: Transfer RNA (tRNA) molecules are approximately 80 nucleotides in length. Their secondary structure includes four short double-helical elements and three loops (D, anti-codon, and T loops).
Source: RNAcentral